Molecule: long non-coding RNA, 534 nt
Filed under: Populus tremula
Lineage: Eukaryota; Viridiplantae; Streptophyta; Magnoliopsida; Malpighiales; Salicaceae
Description: long non-coding RNA (PTRE_LNC002880)
Source: RNAcentral
AAGAGGAGGGCAUGGCUUCUUAUGAAAUGGAGGGAUCUUUGGGAUUGGAGGCAGUGGCUUAUAAAUUGGAACUGGAGGUGGUAAAGGCUUGUAGAUGGGAAUAGGAGGUGGUAGAGGCUUGAAGAUUGGUGGUUUUGGUUUUGGCUUGUAAAUUGGCACUGGAGGUGGCUUGAAGAUUGGUGGCUUUGGCUUAGGCUUGUAGAUGGGAAUAGGAGGUGGCAGAGGCUUGAAGAUUGGUGGUUUUGGUUUUGGCUUGUAAAUUGGCAAUGGAGGUGGCUUGAAGAUUGGUGGCUUUGGCUUGUAGAUCGGAACAUGAGGUAGAGGUGGCUUCUUGUAGAUUGGAGGGAAGACCUUUGGCGGGAGUGGAGGAUAGACCUUAGGUGGGAAUAGGUAAGGAUGGUGAAAGUUUUUCAAUGGUGGAAGUUUCCAUGUAGGCAAUGGAAGCGGUUUAGUUAUCGGUGGAUGAGGCCACAAGAAUGCAGAAGUGCAAGUAACAGGUGAAAAUUUCAGUUUCCCUGCGAGCCCGAAUGUGUG